This 253-nucleotide ribosomal RNA is filed under the name uncultured bacterium. Its description in RNAcentral is "partial 16S ribosomal RNA". It matches the Rfam family "Bacterial small subunit ribosomal RNA", at positions 524 to 776 of the family's 1533-position model. The record is from RNAcentral.
UACGGAGGGUGCAAGCGUUGUCCGGAUUUAUUGGGUUUAAAGGGUGCGUAGGCGGCUUUUUAAGUCAGUGGUGAAAUCCAACAGCUCAACUGUUGAACUGCCAUUGAUACUGGAGAGCUUGAGUACAGACGAGGUAGGCGGAAUUUAUGGUGUAGCGGUGAAAUGCAUAGAUACCAUAAAGAACACCGAUUGCGAAGGCAGCUUACUAGGCUGUAACUGACGCUGAGGCACGAAAGUGUGGGGAGCAAACAGG